Molecule: long non-coding RNA, 1691 nt
Organism: Triticum aestivum (bread wheat)
Lineage: Eukaryota; Viridiplantae; Streptophyta; Magnoliopsida; Poales; Poaceae
Exons: 4
Source: RefSeq, a predicted model, not a curated record
CUUGCAACCACCACCCCCCGCGUCCGGCGGAUCACCUGUUCGACAGCAUGCGUCCGCCGUUCGUCCGGUGGAUCCCCUAUUCGACGGUUGUGCCCGACCGCCUAGGCGCGCUCCCGGACGCGGUACUCCAGCACGUGCUCUCGUUCCUGCCGUCGCGCGACGCCGUGCGCACCUGCCUGCUCGCCCGCCGCUGGCGCCACCAGUGGAAGUCCGUGCCGGCCCUGCGGAUCACCGGCUUCGACUCCUUCGAGAGCGGCCGCGACCUCAACGACUUCGUCAACCAUCUCAUCAUCCUCCGCGACCGGACGCGUCUCCAUGCGUGCGAGAUCGAGGCCUACUCGGAGUACGACGGCCGCGGCAACUAUUCCGCCGACGACGGAAGCGAGCGGUCCCGGUACACCGAUCUGUGGACCCGGUACGCCUCGUCGUGCCAGGCUCGGCUGCUUCGGCUCAGCGACCGUGACCCCGCUAAUCGCAUUGCCGAACACGAGUGGGUUCAGCUUAGCACUUCCAUCGCCUCUCCGCAUCUUACGACGCUGGAGCUCGAUGGCGUGCUGCUCUCGAUCCCUUCCGAUCUGGAUUUCUCGGCCUGCACAAACCUGCAGACAAUAAAGAUGAACCGCUGCACCUUCCAAAAUACAACCGACUACGGUCCUGUCAACAUAUCGUCAACAUCUACUCCCUCCGUUCCCAAAUACUUGUCUUUCUAGGCAUUUUAAAUGGACUCAACAUACGGAUGUAUGUAGACAUAUUUUAAAGUGUAGAUUCACUCAUUUUGUGCCGUAUGUAGUCACUUGUUGAAAUCUCUAGAAAGACAAGUAUUUAGGAACGGAGGGAGUAUGCGAUAUCUGAGCAUCACCGACUACUCUUUUAUGAAACAUGCUCUCGUUUCUGGCCCGAGCCUCGUCUACCUGGAGCUGGCAGACGGCCAUCAGUUUGUUCCUGAGUUUGGGAGCAUGCCGUCGUUGCGAACAGCAUCUUUAAGCUUGAUCACAGUUUCGAUAGGGACGGCGAGGAUGGUUCCUGGCUUCUUGGACGCCUGUCAGAUAUCACUAAUCUAGCGCUCAUUGCCGAGCCUCAAAUGUUUCCUGUUUUCAGGAAAGAUUUUAAGUGGUGCACCGCAUUUAACAAGCUCAAAACCUUGUCAGUCAAUGAUUGGUGUGUGGAGCCUGAUUUUCGCCCACUACUUUACUUUCUCCAGCAGUCACCAAGUCUCGAGAAGCUCUGCCUCCAACUAUUUAUGCCAUAUCAAAAUGCUGAAGGAACAAACAGAAGCUACGAUACGACAAAACCAUUUUUAGCAUCGAAGUAUCUCAGGGAUGUCAAGAUCAAAUGCCAUGAAAAAGAUGAGCGUGUUCACAAAAUUGUGAAGGUUCUGAGUUCCUGUGGAGUGCCUGUUGAGCAAAUCGAGAUCAAGAUAAAUAGGCAUUCUUAAGACAAUUCAGAGGAGUCAAAACUAUUCACAUUCAGAUUCAGGGCAGUCAAAGUAUUCACGUUCAGAUUCAGAGCGAGAGCAAUCGGAUUAACAGUUGGAAUGUAGCCAUGAGUUCACUAUCUUGCUUCGCCAUAGGACCUUUAGUGAAAUUUCUAGUUGUCGAGUUGAGGCCUUUGUUUUGUGAUAUGGAUGCAAUUGGGAUAUGGAUGCAUAUGAGGCCAUGUUAUUUGCUUUAUACUUUUGGUUCAUGUGUCAU